GGUGAGGUGUCCGAGUGGCUGAAGGAGCACGCCUGGAAAGUGUGUAUACGUUUACACGUAUCGAGGGUUCGAAUCCCUCUCUCACCGCCA
RNAcentral lists this transfer RNA (90 nucleotides) under Acinetobacter baumannii. Its description in RNAcentral is "tRNA-Ser". It matches the Rfam family "tRNA". Rfam says of the family: Transfer RNA (tRNA) molecules are approximately 80 nucleotides in length. Their secondary structure includes four short double-helical elements and three loops (D, anti-codon, and T loops). Further hydrogen bonds mediate the characteristic L-shaped molecular structure. tRNAs have two regions of fundamental functional importance: the anti-codon, which is responsible for specific mRNA codon recognition, and the 3' end, to which the tRNAs corresponding amino acid is attached (by aminoacyl-tRNA synthetases). tRNAs cope with the degeneracy of the genetic code in two manners: having more than one tRNA (with a specific anti-codon) for a particular amino acid; and 'wobble' base-pairing, i.e. permitting non-standard base-pairing at the 3rd anti-codon position. The record is from RNAcentral. Lineage: Bacteria; Pseudomonadati; Pseudomonadota; Gammaproteobacteria; Moraxellales; Moraxellaceae. RNAcentral also lists the same sequence under 1 other name.